This is a long non-coding RNA of Myotis brandtii (Brandt's bat), 406 nucleotides long. RefSeq lists it as uncharacterized. Lineage: Eukaryota; Metazoa; Chordata; Mammalia; Chiroptera; Vespertilionidae. The transcript is spliced from 3 exons. The record is from RefSeq and is a predicted model, not a curated record.
GUGUCAUGCGGGGAGACCCUGUGCCGGCCAGGAGCGCAGCACCGGAGCGUCUUGGGUCCGGUUCCCACUCCGGAAGCAUCUAGAAGGGCCACCUCGUCUCUGCAGAGCAGGCCGCUGUCCCGGAGGCUGGGGCGUGGCUCCGAGGGGCCCCUGCCUGCCCCCCACCCUCCCCGGACUCUCCGAGGGUUUGGGAGCUGCUGUGCCUGGAAGUGGUGUUUGACUCUGUUUUCCAGGAGGAAAUUUUAAGCGUGAAGAUACCCCGUUUAUUUUAUUAUUGUCCCUCCCUGUCGUCAGUCCUGCUGCUCACCUGGCACCAGGAGUCGGCCCCGGGGAGCCCCGAGCGGCCCUCUCCCCCCGAUGGCCCAGAGCCAUCUCCUGGGGUGACGAAGCUGGGCCGAGGCCGGGC